RNAcentral lists this ribosomal RNA (544 nucleotides) under uncultured archaeon. Its description in RNAcentral is "bacterial SSU rRNA". It matches the Rfam family "Bacterial small subunit ribosomal RNA", at positions 509 to 1050 of the family's 1533-position model. The record is from RNAcentral.
CAGCCGCCGCGGUAAUACGUAGGGAGCGAGCGUUGUCCGGAAUUACUGGGUGUAAAGGGUGCGUAGGCGGGUCAGCAAGUCAGGCGUGAAAUACCGGGGCUCAACUCCGGGGCUGCGCUUGAAACUGUUGGUCUUGAGUGAAGUAGAGGCAGGCGGAAUUCCUAGUGUAGCGGUGAAAUGCGUAGAUAUUAGGAGGAACACCAGUGGCGAAGGCGGCCUGCUGGGCUUUAACUGACGCUGAUGCACGAAAGCAUGGGGAGCAAACAGGAUUAGAUACCCUGGUAGUCCAUGCCGUAAACGAUGAUAGCUAGGUGUGGGGGGUUAUAUGCCAUCCGUGCCGGAGUUAACACAAUAAGCUAUCCACCUGGGGAGUACGGCCGCAAGGCUAAAACUCAAAGGAAUUGACGGGGGCCCGCACAAGCAGUGGAGUAUGUGGUUUAAUUCGAUGCAACGCGAAGAACCUUACCAGGUCUUGACAUCCGACUAACGGAGCAGAAAUGCACUGGUGCCCGCAAGGGAAAGUCGAGACAGGUGGUGCAUGGCC